Molecule: long non-coding RNA, 1562 nt
Filed under: Gadus morhua (Atlantic cod)
Lineage: Eukaryota; Metazoa; Chordata; Actinopteri; Gadiformes; Gadidae
Description: lncRNA (ENSGMOG00000032681.1)
Source: RNAcentral
AUAGCACACUGGAACACUGUUCAGUCCCAUUCAAAAUAAACAAUGUGAAUUAUCUACAGAUCGCACGAGUGUUCAGACACCGACUACAUUACUUGCCCCCAAUCGCUUUGCCUUUUUUAUAUAUAUAUAUAUAUUAGAGCUGUCAAGCGAUUAAAAUAUUUAAUCGUGAUUAAUCGCAUUAAUGUCAUAGUUUACUCACGAUUAAUCGCGAUUAAUCGCAAAUUAUUUUUCUAUGCUAAAUAUCCCUUGAUUUUUUUGUCCCAUAAUUCUUCUCAUUUUAAUUAUCUUAUCAACAUGGUGAAGUGCAUCGGCUUGCCUUGUGCAAAUGAUUUUUGGCAUAUACUGAUCAAAACAGGACGAUACAAAAAAAGAGCCUAUAGUGCAAUUAAACGACUGCUUUGAACAAAUGUCAUUUGAACAUAGCAGUCAGCUUCUAUGUUUUGAGCCAAAGAAAAAAAUACAUAUAUAUAUAUUUUUUAAAUAAAACAAUUGCGUUAAUCGUGCGAUCAUUUUUUUAACGCCGUUAAAAUUGGUUUGCGUUAACGCCGUUAAUAACGAUAUGUAUUUGGAUGAUGGAUCACAGGUUCUGCCACUCCUGAAAGAAAGGCCUUGCCUUAGGGUCCUUCUUGAUAUGCCCGAAGAACCCAGCGAUGUCCCAGCUACCCUCGGCUACCCUCCUGAAACCCAACUACUCUGUUCUGGGAAGUAACAAAAGACCAAGAGAGGAGUUAAUGGUGGUUAAGUUCAGAGAGUUUCUUCACUGUGUACAAGAGAAGGAGCUUGGGGAACAUCUUAACGGCAGGAACCUCACUGAGGCAGAAAAUGCGUUUAUCCUGACAUUGAAUCCUGGACACAUCCUAGCCUUUGCAACGGGAAGCAGCAAAGUUCCUGCAAUUGGAUGUUCUCCCAGUCCAAAACUGACUUUUGUUCAUGAUGACACGAAGCACCUCCUCAUUGCUCACACCUGCUCAAAUGAGCUUCAGAUCUUUGUUAAUAGAAAGAAUCUGGCAGAUGACGAUGAAUUUGAUUACAAUUGUCUGGUGGCUCUCAUGCAUGGAUCAAUUUUUAGUGCUGUGUAGUCUCGAAAAAAAAUGCUUGGACUGUACAUUUGGAGCCCAGAUCUUUUAAUGGGUGGACUUGUUUAGAAUCUGGUGUAGCAUGUUGUUUGAGUUAAAAUGUUGUUUCGCCUAAACUCUGAUCUGAACUAUGUGUCGUAUAUAGUUUGGACGACAGUUUACUCGUGUUUUUAUUAAUUAUUCUCAGGUGUGUUGUCUGAUUAAUAUUCAUUGUUCAUUUUAGCUGUAUCAGACAGACUAUUGUUUUCAUUCCGUUUAAUUAUUUAAAUGCAGUAUUUCAAAUAAGUGCCCAGUUCCUAUAGACUCACAGGUGUGAGUUAAAAUAAAAUAUAUCUUUGCACACGAUCACGUUCCAAAUCCCUACUUUCUUGACUUUUCCUAAAUAUGUUUGUUGCACCACCCUGUGUUCAUACUUUUUUUUUUCAGACCGGGAAAGCUAUUAUAUAGCAUUUUUUAUGUAUUCCUAUGUAAUUGGUUUUUUUUCCA